Myotis lucifugus (little brown bat) is the source of this 90-nucleotide non-coding RNA. NCBI's taxonomy places the organism in Eukaryota, Metazoa, Chordata, Mammalia, Chiroptera, Vespertilionidae. The record is from Rfam.
CCUUCGAUAGCUCAGCUGGUAGAGCGGAGGACUGUAGUCACUUCCUGUCUAGCUAUCCUUAGGUCGCUGGUUCGAUUCCGGCUCGAAGGA